RNAcentral lists this microRNA precursor (126 nucleotides) under Myotis davidii. Its description in RNAcentral is "mir-9193 microRNA precursor family". It matches the Rfam family "mir-9193 microRNA precursor family". Lineage: Eukaryota; Metazoa; Chordata; Mammalia; Chiroptera; Vespertilionidae. The record is from Rfam by way of RNAcentral.
CGUGCACCAGUGGGGUCCCUCAGCCUGGCCUGUACCCUCUUGCAAUCCAGGACCCCUUGGGGGAUGUCAGAGAGCUGGUUUCAGCCCAAUUCUGCAGGCCAGGCUGAGGGACCCCACUGGUGCAAG